Astatotilapia calliptera (eastern happy) is the source of this 1149-nucleotide long non-coding RNA. The record is from Ensembl. Lineage: Eukaryota; Metazoa; Chordata; Actinopteri; Cichliformes; Cichlidae.
AGACUGAAGACACCAAACACUGCCAACUAAUUUCUGCCACCCGCAGAAAAACAACGCAGUUGCCAGAACUAAAACAAAAAUGAAAAUACAUUGAAUACGUUUCAGAGUCAAUUAUUUUCUUCCAGUGAGAGCCCUCCUAACACUGGGCAGAACUGUCCCAUUUUGAAGUGGCAAUCCAUUUUGGCUAAGUGAUGUCAGGCAGCCUGUCACGUUAGUCUGUGUGAAGCAGUGGGCCUAUUCCUCAUCUCAGCGGCUGCUCGCUCAUGGUGGGGACAAACGACAUUUCUUUCUCAUUUGGAAGGAAAUAACGGGGCCAGAAACUGCGCUGGCAGCCAAACAGAAACUGCGCCCUAGAGCUAUACUGAACCAAGGACACAAGCCAGUCUUUGUUUGUUUUUUCUUCUUCUUCUUCUGUUUUUUUCCUUUAGUAACACUAAAGGGCUGUGUAGUUGUGUUCCGAUACUGUGGGGUCAUUUUACUUGUUUUCUUUUUUUUUUUUUUGUUAUUUCAAGCUGGCCGUGUGUUCGCUGCAACUGGGCAGUCAUUUCCACUGGACACCACAAAAACUGUAGCAGUGACUUUGAUUGGGGAAUAGCAAGCCCCUUAGCCCAUUUUGGUGGGUACGGUCACAUAUCUAUUCCCUCUGUUCCAAUUUUCAUGACCUGCACAUUGAAAUCCGCACGCCAGAGACAGCUUCAUUAUUAGCGUGCCUUGCACCGAGCUCAGUGGCAGGAUAUUGCAUAGAGGAGCAUAUAACAGCUGAGCAAUCUGAGUUGGGCAGCUGGGCAUGCAGGUAUUGUAAUUUUAAUUCCCUUCUCAAUUCCCACGUCCCUCUACAGUGGGCUGUUGUUCUUCUCAAACGAGUUUGAGGUAAAAUGUCAUUGAAAACGCCCCGUGCGCUGAAAUUGUGAGGGAACCACAGAUGUGGGUUGUGUGAUUUCACAUAAUAUUUUUGCUCAAAGUAGAAAACACUUGCUGAUUUCCACUCUACACACUUUCUCACAUGCCCUCUAUGAUGCUGUCAAACCUAUCACACGUUGACUGCGAGAGUAAAAGGGAAAGCUAAACAAAUACCUGCAGGGCAUUUUUCUGCUGUGGCAAAGUAAAAAUAAUUACCCGGCAACAAAGCCAUUGUUGCAUACUUGAGUG